Molecule: ribosomal RNA, 321 nt
Filed under: uncultured bacterium
Lineage: Bacteria
Description: bacterial SSU rRNA
Rfam family: Bacterial small subunit ribosomal RNA
Source: RNAcentral
ACUGGGAUAACUACCGGAAACGGUAGCUAAGACCGGAUACGACCAUUUGGGGGCAUCCUUGAAUGGUGAAAAGCGGAGCAAUCUGCUACUGGUAGAUGGACCUGCGGCGCAUUAGCUAGUUGGUGAGGUAGAGGCUCACCAAGGCGACGAUGCGUAGCCGACCUGAGAGGGUGAACGGCCACACUGGGACUGAGACACGGCCCAGACUCCUACGGGAGGCAGCAGUAGGGAAUCUUCGGCAAUGGACGAAAGUCUGACCGAGCAACGCCGCGUGAGUGAUGAAGGUUUUCGGAUCGUAAAACUCUGUUGCCAGGGAAGAAU